AGUGGCGUAAGGGUGAGUUAGGCGAAGGUAACCAACCCCAUGGUCGGGUAUAGCCGCGGGAAACUGCGGGUAAUCCCCAGCGACGUCCGGGAGGGGCAUCCCUCCGGGACCAAAGCUCCGGCGCCGUGGGACGGGCCUUCGUGGUAUUAGGUUGUUGGCGGGGUAAUGGCCCACCAAGCCUCUGAUGCCUACCGGGCGUGCGAGCGUGGCCCGGCACACUGGGACUGAGACACUGCCCAGACUCCUACGGGAGGCUGCAGUCGAGAAUCUUCGGCAAUGGGCGCAAGCCUGACCGAGCGACGCCGCGUGGAGGACGAAGGCCUUCGGGUUGUAAACUCCUGUCGAGGGGGAAGAAGCCGCAAGGUUGACUGAUCCCUGGAGGAAGCACGGGCUAAGUUCGUGCCAGCAGCCGCGGUAAGACGAACCGUGCGAACGUUAUUCGGAAUCACUGGGCUUAAAGCGCGUGUAGGCGGAUCGGAACGUCGGUCGCUGAAAUCCCCCGGCUUAACCGGGGAACGGGCGCCGA
This 526-nucleotide ribosomal RNA is filed under the name uncultured bacterium. RNAcentral describes it as "bacterial SSU rRNA". It matches the Rfam family "Bacterial small subunit ribosomal RNA", at positions 94 to 630 of the family's 1533-position model. The record is from RNAcentral.